Molecule: transfer RNA, 72 nt
Filed under: Acetobacter pomorum DSM 11825
Lineage: Bacteria; Pseudomonadati; Pseudomonadota; Alphaproteobacteria; Acetobacterales; Acetobacteraceae
Description: tRNA-Thr
Rfam family: tRNA
About the family: Transfer RNA (tRNA) molecules are approximately 80 nucleotides in length. Their secondary structure includes four short double-helical elements and three loops (D, anti-codon, and T loops).
Source: RNAcentral
GCCGUUGUAGCUCAGUGGUAGAACAACCGCCUUGUAAGCGGUAGGUCGGGGGUUCAAAUCCCUCCUGCGGCA